AGGAGAUCUGAGAAAAAGAGAAGAAGAAUAUAGCACACGAUAUUUACGUGGUUCGACCACCGGCCUACGUCCAAGGGCGAAGACGGAGCGGAGAUCUUCAUUAUAAUUAAAGUGGUGUACAAAAUAUGUCUCUCUCACGAAACCCUAAUUCCAAAAAAUACACCCAUACUCUCUCUUUCAUCUUCCGCACUAAACCAAUGGAAUAAAGCGUAUAUUUAUAAUAGUGGCUAAUCCUAAUACAACUAGAAAUACAAACCCACUAAGAUUAAAAAUAUCUCAAUAAAAUUAGGUAUAAUCUAAACUUAACUUAAUGGGACAAUCAAAACAGAAUAGGGUU
This 337-nucleotide long non-coding RNA is filed under the name Ananas comosus (pineapple). Its description in RNAcentral is "long non-coding RNA (ACOM_LNC021689)". The record is from RNAcentral. Lineage: Eukaryota; Viridiplantae; Streptophyta; Magnoliopsida; Poales; Bromeliaceae.